Molecule: small nucleolar RNA, 75 nt
Organism: Trematomus bernacchii (emerald rockcod)
Lineage: Eukaryota; Metazoa; Chordata; Actinopteri; Perciformes; Nototheniidae
Source: RefSeq, a predicted model, not a curated record
UUCUAAAGUGAUGAUUUCCUUAUUACCGCCCCAGUCUGAAAAUUCAUGACUGAUUGGUUACCGAACUGAUCAGAA